UGGCAGACCUGCCUCAGAUUUAGACC
RNAcentral lists this non-coding RNA (26 nucleotides) under Mus musculus (house mouse). The record is from RNAcentral. Lineage: Eukaryota; Metazoa; Chordata; Mammalia; Rodentia; Muridae.